UUUGCCUAUGGGACGCAGCAGUGAGGAAUAUUGGUCAAUGGGCGCGAGCCUGAACCAGCCAAGUCGCGUGAGGGAGGACGGCCCUACGGGUUGUAAACCUCUUUGGACGGGGAGCAAGGCCGCCGACGUGUCGGCGGAAGGAGAGUACCCGUAGAACAAGCAUCGGCUAACUCCGUGCCAGCAGCCGCGGUAAUACGGAGGAUGCGAGCGUUAUCCGGAUUUAUUGGGUUUAAAGGGUGCGCAGGCGGCACGGCAAGCCGGCGGUCAAAUCGCGGGGCUCAACCCCGCCCAGCCGUCGGAACUGC
RNAcentral lists this ribosomal RNA (305 nucleotides) under uncultured bacterium. RNAcentral describes it as "bacterial SSU rRNA". It matches the Rfam family "Bacterial small subunit ribosomal RNA", at positions 334 to 636 of the family's 1533-position model. The record is from RNAcentral.